RNAcentral lists this small nucleolar RNA (107 nucleotides) under Oryza nivara. RNAcentral describes it as "Plant small nucleolar RNA R71". It matches the Rfam family "Plant small nucleolar RNA R71". From Rfam's summary of the family: R71 is a member of the C/D box family of snoRNAs containing the C (UGAUGA) and D (CUGA) box motifs. Multiple nearly identical copies of this snoRNA have been identified in Arabidopsis, and it is thought to function as a 2'-O-ribose methylation guide for 18S ribosomal RNA. Lineage: Eukaryota; Viridiplantae; Streptophyta; Magnoliopsida; Poales; Poaceae. The record is from Rfam by way of RNAcentral.
AUCCCAUGAUGAGGACAGGCGGCCACAUACUCCUGAAGUCAUUCCCACGCCUCAGGAAUGGACUCGUCCCUUGUCUGCUAGAAAUUCGAAAUUCUUCCGUGAAGGGC